RNAcentral lists this microRNA precursor (53 nucleotides) under Ciona intestinalis (vase tunicate). RNAcentral describes it as "microRNA cin-mir-15 precursor". Its record names the gene cin-mir-15. The record is from miRBase by way of RNAcentral. Lineage: Eukaryota; Metazoa; Chordata; Ascidiacea; Phlebobranchia; Cionidae.
UAGCAGCACACAAAACUAUCAUUUUCUAAUUUGCUGGUUUCUGUGAGCUGCUU